RNAcentral lists this ribosomal RNA (692 nucleotides) under proteobacterium 2SA02. RNAcentral's name for it is "bacterial SSU rRNA". It matches the Rfam family "Bacterial small subunit ribosomal RNA", at positions 70 to 754 of the family's 1533-position model. Lineage: Bacteria; Pseudomonadati; Pseudomonadota. The record is from RNAcentral.
CACAGGAGAGCUUGCUCUCUGGGUGGCGAGUGGCGGACGGGUGAGGAAUACAUCGGAAUCUACUCUGUCGUGGGGGAUAACGUAGGGAAACUUACGCUAAUACCGCAUACGACCUACGGGUGAAAGCAGGGGACCUUCGGGCCUUGCGCGAUUGAAUGAGCCGAUGUCGGAUUAGCUAGUUGGCGGGGUAAAGGCCCACCAAGGCGACGAUCCGUAGCUGGUCUGAGAGGAUGAUCAGCCACACUGGAACUGAGACACGGUCCAGACUCCUACGGGAGGCAGCAGUGGGGAAUAUUGGACAAUGGGCGCAAGCCUGAUCCAGCCAUACCGCGUGGGUGAAGAAGGCCUUCGGGUUGUAAAGCCCUUUUGUUGGGAAAGAAAUCCAGCUGGCUAAUACCCGGUUGGGAUGACGGUACCCAAAGAAUAAGCACCGGCUAACUUCGUGCCAGCAGCCGCGGUAAUACGAAGGGUGCAAGCGUUACUCGGAAUUACUGGGCGUAAAGCGUGCGUAGGUGGUCGUUUAAGUCCGUUGUGAAAGCCCUGGGCUCAACCUGGGAACUGCAGUGGAUACUGGGCGACUAGAAUGUGGUAGAGGGUAGCGGAAUUCCUGGUGUAGCAGUGAAAUGCGUAGAGAUCAGGAGGAACAUCCAUGGCGAAGGCAGCUACCUGGACCAACAUUGACACUGAGGCAC